Molecule: small nucleolar RNA, 75 nt
Filed under: Mesitornis unicolor (brown roatelo)
Lineage: Eukaryota; Metazoa; Chordata; Aves; Mesitornithiformes; Mesitornithidae
Source: RNAcentral
UGCCGAUGAUGACCAGCCAUGCUAAUACCGACCAGCGCAGGCUGGGCUGAGUUCGUUAUCCAAGGCCUGAGGCAC